This 280-nucleotide ribosomal RNA is filed under the name uncultured bacterium. Its description in RNAcentral is "partial 16S ribosomal RNA". It matches the Rfam family "Bacterial small subunit ribosomal RNA", at positions 79 to 354 of the family's 1533-position model. The record is from RNAcentral.
CUUGCUUUCUCCGCCGGCGACCGGCGCACGGGUGAGUAACACGUAUGCAACCUGCCCCUGUCAGGGGGACAACCCGCCGAAAGGCGGGCUAAACCCGCGUACAUGCCACCGGGGCAUCCCGGAGGCAGGAAAGGCUUCGGCCGGACAGGGAUGGGCAUGCGGCGCAUUAGGCGGUAGGCGGGGUAACGGCCCACCUAACCGACGAUGCGUAGGGGUUCUGAGAGGAAGGUCCCCCACACUGGUACUGAGACACGGACCAGACUCCUACGGGAGGCAGCAG